This 825-nucleotide ribosomal RNA is filed under the name Triticum aestivum (bread wheat). RNAcentral describes it as "partial small subunit ribosomal RNA". Lineage: Eukaryota; Viridiplantae; Streptophyta; Magnoliopsida; Poales; Poaceae. The record is from RNAcentral.
AUGACGCGCCUAUCAGAGGUGGCCGAGGACGAUGCAACGCUCUUCUUAGGAGCAGUUGAGGAGGCGAAUGACGCGCCCAACCAAGGUGCCCGCGGAGGAAGAGGUGCUCUUCUUAUACAUGUUUCGUCGAGGCGGCGGACGACGCGCCCAGCGAAGGUGGCCGCGGAUGAAGAGGCGCUCUUCUCGUACCAGGUGUUGUCGAGGCGGCGGACGACGCGCCCAACGAAGGUGGCCGCGGAUGAAGCGGCGCUCUUUCUCAUACCAGAUGCAAUGAAGACGGCGGCGCCCUCGCGCUCACGAAUGCAUGCUAGAACAAGGAGGUCAUCGCCCACUUCUUCAACCCCGGUGACAAGGAGACAAGGAGCUCGCCGCAGCCACCGCCAUCAAGCCGGUGCUGCAGAAGAUAGUGUCGUGGAGCUUGAGGGACGCUGCCAGCGUCCACUUCGUCAAGAUAGUGACUCGGUGGAUGGCGACAUGGAGCUCGCCCGGACGAUGCUCCGUCGUCUUCUUCAUCAAGACGACGCCAUAGAGGACGGAGACGUGGAGCCCGAAGAUGCCGCCACCGUGCCAUGGAGGAUGGAGGCGCGGAGCUCGCCAAGACGACGUCCAUCAUCAACAUCAACAAGCUGGUGCUGCGGUGGACGGAGGCGUGGAGCUCGCAGGACGACACCACCGAUGUCUACCUCAUCCAGACGGAGCGCGCGACGCGGAGUCCAUGAAGAUGACACACGCCCCCGAUGCUGCCCGCAACAUGGAGCCCACGAAACGAAGAAGAUGGUGCUACGCGAUGACACGUCUUCACCGACCCUUACCACGAUCAUGUGA